This 409-nucleotide ribosomal RNA is filed under the name uncultured Methylomirabilota bacterium. RNAcentral describes it as "bacterial SSU rRNA". It matches the Rfam family "Bacterial small subunit ribosomal RNA", at positions 1026 to 1434 of the family's 1533-position model. The record is from RNAcentral. Lineage: Bacteria; Methylomirabilota (SeqCode).
GCGUGGAGACAGGUGGUGCAUGGCUGUCGUCAGCUCGUGUCGUGAGAUGUUGGGUUAAGUCCCGCAACGAGCGCAACCCUCACCCCUUGUUGCCAUCAGGUGAUGCUGGGCACUCUAGGGGAACUGCCCCGGUCAACGGGGAGGAAGGUGGGGAUGACGUCAAGUCAUCAUGCCCCUUACGCCCUGGGCUACACACGUGCUACAAUGGCCGGUACAAAGGGAUGCAAUACCGCGAGGUGGAGCUAAACCCAGAAAGCCGGUCUAAGUUCAGAUUGGAGUCUGCAACUCGACUCCAUGAAGGAGGAAUCGCUAGUAAUCGCGCAUCAGCACGGCGCGGUGAAUACGUUCCCGGGCCUUGUACACACCGCCCGUAACACCACGAAAGCCAGCUGUACUCGAAGUCGCUGAG